AACGAACGCUGGCGGCAGGCCUAACACAUGCAAGUCGAGCGAGACCUUCGGGUCUAGCGGCGGACGGGUGAGUAACGCGUGGGAACGUGCCCUUUUCUACGGAAUAGCCUCGGGAAACUGAGCGUAAUACCGUAUACACCCUUUGGGGGAAAGAUUUAUCGGAGAAGGAUCGGCCCGCGUUGGAUUAGGUAGUUGGUGGGGUAAUGGCCUACCAAGCCUACGAUCCAUAGCUGGUUUGAGAGGAUGAUCAGCCACACUGGGACUGAGACACGGCCCAGACUCCUACGGGAGGCAGCAGUGGGGAAUCUUAGACAAUGGGGGCAACCCUGAUCUAGCCAUGCCGCGUGAGUGAUGAAGGCCUUAGGGUUGUAAAGCUCUUUCAGCUGGGAAGAUAAUGACGGUACCAGCAGAAGAAGCCCCGGCUAACUCCGUG
This 433-nucleotide ribosomal RNA is filed under the name uncultured bacterium. RNAcentral describes it as "partial 16S ribosomal RNA". It matches the Rfam family "Bacterial small subunit ribosomal RNA", at positions 29 to 507 of the family's 1533-position model. The record is from RNAcentral.